RNAcentral lists this ribosomal RNA (672 nucleotides) under Triticum aestivum (bread wheat). RNAcentral's name for it is "partial small subunit ribosomal RNA". The record is from RNAcentral. Lineage: Eukaryota; Viridiplantae; Streptophyta; Magnoliopsida; Poales; Poaceae.
AUGCCAGGCGAGGACACCGACCCCAAGUCCAACGCUUCUGCUGCUGCUGUGUCGUACGUGUUCUUAUCCUUUCUGUUAGAAGUCCUGCUACAGUUCUUGGCUCUAGUUUCAGCCCUACGUAUGUUAGGUUCUAUGUCGUAUAAGCAACUUCAUCUAGUGUCUGUUCUAGAUAUGUUUACCUCAAGUUCAUAUAUGCAGACGAUGUUUACCUUCUCUCUGUCAGAUUGCAUGACUUGCUUUAUAUUUGCCAUACUAGUCAUGCUUUAUCUAGUAUUUCUGUUAAUAAAAUCAUUCGGAAAAUUGCUCAUAUUUCCAACAAUCCAAAAACCUUAUUAUAGGCAAUUUACCUCAAAUGGUUUUGCUGCUUCCAUGAGACCUUCUAUGUUUGAGGGUAUUCACUAUAAGAGGUGGCGCGUGAGAGCAGUCUUAUGGUUUCAAACCAUGAGUUGCUAUGACGCCACUCUUGGUAGACCUGAAGGAGAACUUGAUGCUCAACAGGCACAAGCUUUUCAGAAAAUGGUUACUUUGUUUAAGGCUGAUCUCUUGAGUGUUCUUGGUGAGAACAUAGUUGAUGCUUAUGCGUCGAUUGAUAAUGGAAAAGAUAUGUGGGAUGCACUUGAGGCCAAGUUUGGGGUCUCGGAUGCUGGCACUGAGCUGUACAUCAUGGAGUAA